GGCAAAUCCCUUCAGUAUCUUUGCCAAGAAAACCCCCUGGAUUGUAUUGAAAUGCUAUGGUCCAUGACAUCACAAAGAGUUAGACAUGACUAAAUGACUGAACAAUAACAGCAUACUGAUAGAUCAUCAUAUCUACUAAUGACACAAAACUGGGAGAGUUAGCUAAUAUACUGAAUGAGAGUGUUAGAAUCCAAAAAGAUCUUGACUAUAAGCAAGGCUAGAGCAUUAAAGUAAAUUGAAUAAGAUGAAAUUCAAAAAAGCUAAAUAUAAGGUUUUAUGCUUAGAUCCAAAAAAUCAGCUCUAUAAAUGCAAGAUAGAAGAAGUUCUGAAAAGGAUCUGGGAUUUUUAGUGGACUGCAAGCUCAAUAUGAGUCAACAGUGUGAUAUGAUAGCCAUAAAAGCUAAUACUUCCUCCCAGAAUCAUGAACUUGCUUUUCUUCCAACCCAUCCCAUUAGUGUGGCUGGAAUGCUCCAAACAGAGGUCAUAGGUUAAGAACCCUAGGAACAUGAUCUGGAACUAAGGGUUAUGAGUCUAGGUCAGAAAGACUUUGAUUGGUUCCUGAGAUGUCUUAGACCAGCUCAGAGAGACAGGAAGCAAUAUGAAGAAAAGAUGAGACUGGAGAGGAGAUUAAGAGCUUUUGGCAUAAUUUUGCUAGGAUUGAUUCUUCUACUCCAUUUGGCAUUGGUGACUCAGGUCAGAGAGAAAGACACCCUUCCUCCAAAAAGACUACAGGACUUCCAUAUGGAGAUUGGAACCUUGUUGGAGAGUGAGCUGAAAUUCUACGGAUCAGUCUUUAGAGUGGUAACUUCAAAAUUGGUUGUCCACUCUUGAAGCUUAUUUUCAAUGGCCAAAUGAUCAGGAAGAGACAAUAAUGACCAGGACAAUAUGAAAAGGUACAGGAUCCCAGGUUGUACAGAAGUAGCCCUCACUGAUGAUAUGUCAGUUGUGGAAGGAGAGGAGGAGAGAGUUUCCUGUUUUGGGUAGGAAACGACAACAAAACUGUCCAUCUGCAAGUAUCUGUGGCAGUCUAAGUUUUCCGUGACAGUUAUCUUUGCCUUUAGCAUCUGCCCUAGUGAUGCAAGAGAAGAAGAAAAAGAAGAGGUGGGGAGAGAGUCUCAGACAGCAGCACUGCUUGGGAAGGUAGGUCUCUGGAGAAAGGAGAAUGAAGAGGAAAGAAUGAUUUCCGGUUUAUCUGCUGAUAAAAUGUUGAAGGUUGAGUUGAGGCAAGAGUUGUCAUUUUACUCAUAUAUAUGUGAUUUUGGCUUGUUUCAGAUCCCACCACCGCUAGCAGAAGCCAUGUGGCUCUUACCAUAUUGCUAUGAUUUCAAUGUUUAGAGAUUAAAAACAGAAUAUCCACAAUAAUGUAUACGUCCUAGGAACUCUGCCCGUGGUUGGAAUAAUCACCCCACAUAUUCCAUCUGUGGCAGAGUCUUUUGCUUUCUACCUUCAUUAUAUUUCUAAUAUGUAUCCUCUUCUCACCAUUCAUAUACCUACCACAAUGGUUCAGACCAUUAUCAUUUCAA
Long non-coding RNA from Monodelphis domestica (gray short-tailed opossum), 1523 nucleotides. RefSeq lists it as uncharacterized. The record is from RefSeq and is a predicted model, not a curated record. Lineage: Eukaryota; Metazoa; Chordata; Mammalia; Didelphimorphia; Didelphidae.